GCUGGGCGUGGUAGUGGGCGCCUGUAGUCCCAGCUACUCGGGAGGCUGAGGCAGGAGAAUUGCUUGAACCCAGGAGGCGGAGGUUGCAGUGAGUCGAGAUCGCACCACUGCACUCUAGCCUGGGUGACAGAGCAAGACUCCGUCUCAA
Molecule: non-coding RNA, 148 nt
Filed under: Pan troglodytes (chimpanzee)
Lineage: Eukaryota; Metazoa; Chordata; Mammalia; Primates; Hominidae
Source: Rfam by way of RNAcentral